Molecule: ribosomal RNA, 253 nt
Filed under: uncultured bacterium
Lineage: Bacteria
Description: partial 16S ribosomal RNA
Rfam family: Bacterial small subunit ribosomal RNA
Source: RNAcentral
UACGUAGGCAGCAAGCGUUGUUCGGAAUUACUGGGCGUAAAGAGUGUGUAGGCGGUGCUCUAAGUUCGGUGUGAAAUCUCCCGGCUCAACUGGGAGGGUGCGCCGAAAACUGGAGUGCUGGAGCGCGGGAGAGGAAAGCGGAAUUCCUGGUGUAGCGGUGAAAUGCGCAGAUAUCAGGAGGAACACCAAUGGCGAAGGCAGCUCGCUGGGACGGUACUGACGCUGAGACGCGAAAGCGUGGGGAGCAAACAGG